This 253-nucleotide ribosomal RNA is filed under the name uncultured bacterium. RNAcentral's name for it is "partial 16S ribosomal RNA". It matches the Rfam family "Bacterial small subunit ribosomal RNA", at positions 524 to 776 of the family's 1533-position model. The record is from RNAcentral.
UACGAAUCGUGCGAACGUUGUUCGGAAUCACUGGGCAUAAAGGGCGCGUAGGCGGCUUAUCAAGUCAGGGGUGAAAUCCGGCAGCUCAACUGUCGAAGUGCCUUUGAUACUGAUGAGCUAGAGGGAGAUAGGGGUAUGCGGGACUUCCGGUGGAGCGGUGAAAUGCGUUGAUAUCGGAAGGAACGCCGGUGGCGAAAGCGGCGUACUGGAUCUCUUCUGACGCUGAGGCGCGAAAGCUAGGGGAGCAAACGGG